RNAcentral lists this ribosomal RNA (497 nucleotides) under uncultured bacterium. Its description in RNAcentral is "partial 16S ribosomal RNA". It matches the Rfam family "Bacterial small subunit ribosomal RNA", at positions 28 to 507 of the family's 1533-position model. The record is from RNAcentral.
GACGAACGCUGGCGGCGUGCCUAAUACAUGCAAGUAGAACGCUGAAGAGAGGAGCUUACUCUUCUUGGAUGAGUUGCGAACGGGUGAGUAACGCGUAGGUAACCUGCCUUGUAGCGGGGGAUAACUAUUGGAAACGAUAGCUAAUACCGCAUAACAAUGGAUGACACAUGGCAUUUAUGUGAAAGGGGCAAUUUCUCCACUACAAGAUGGACCUGUGUUGUAUUAGCUAGUAGGUGAGGUAAUGGAUCACCUAGGCGACGAUACAUAGCCGACCUGAGUGGAUGAUCGGCCACCCUGGGACUGAGACCCGGCCCAGACUCCUACGGGAGGCAGCAGUAGGGAAUCUUCGGCAAUGGGGGCAACACUGACCGAGCAACGCCGCGUGAGUGAAGAAGGUUUUCGGAUCGUAAAGCUCUGUUGUAAGUCAAGAACGGGUGUGAGAGUGGAAAGUUCACACUGUGACGGUAGCUUACCAGAAAGGGACGGCUAACUACGUG